AGCGGAGGAAAAGAAAUUAACUAAGAUUGCCUUAGUAACGGCGAGUGAAGUGGCAAAAGCCCAAACUGGAAAUCUUCAUGCUUCGCAUGACGAAUUGUAAUCUAAAGAGUAGAAGCUCACCGGUAGGUCUCGCAGAAGUGCCUUAGAACGGGCCGCCAGAGAGGGUGACAGCCCCGUAUGUGGUGAGACUUGCUAACGAGCUCUGCUUGAAGAGUCGGGUAGUUUUGAAUUGCUGCCCUAAGUGGGAGAUAGACUUCUUCUAAGGCUAAAUACAUGUGGGAAACCGAUAGCGAACAAGUACUGUGAAGGAAAGAUGAAAAGAACUUUGAAAAGAGAGUUAAAAGACUUGAAAUCGUUGAGAAGGAAGCGGUAGAAAAUUAUUCUCUGCGGUAGCAAAGUGUUCCACACGAGUAUUACGGGUGUAUAGUACGUCAAAGGCUUGCAUUCGUACGUGCUUGUUGGAUUGCGGAGCUCACGCAGUGAGGCAAAAUGAGGUGUUGAAUCCACAAAAGCUUCUAGGAUUUGGGACUCUUCGGAGUCCAUUCCUGGUCUGCUGGUGGGCUUAGCGCCUGAGGAUGCUCUGUGCGAUUUUGCCAAAAUGGUUUUUACCGACCCGUCUUGAAACACGGACCAAGGAGUCUAACAUAUAUGCGAGUGUGCUGGUGGAGAAACCAACACGCACAAUGAAAGUAACAGAUGCCAAGCGCAAGCAGCAGCAUCAACCGAUGAGGUUCCUCUGGUGCCUAUUCGAGUAAGAGCAUAUCUGUUAGGACCCGAAAGAUGGUGAACUAUGCCUGAGUAGGGUGAAGCCAGGGGAAACUCUGGUGGAGGCUCGUAGCGGUUCUGACGUGCAAAUCGAUCGUCAAACUUGGGUAUAGGGGCGAAAGACUAAUCGAACCAUCUAGUAGCUGGUUCCCUCCGAAGUUUCCCUCAGGAUAGCUGGGACAAUAACGCAGUUUUAUUAGGUAAAGCGAAUGAUUAGAGGUAUCUGGGGUUCCUUACCCUGGACCUAUUCUCAAACUUUAAAUUGGUAAGAACCUUUGCCUUUCUUAAUUGAGGUGAGGGGGUCAAUGCGUGUCCCUAGUGGGCCAUUUUUGGUAAGCAGAACUGGCGAUGAGGGUUGCUCCUAACGCUGAGUUAAGGUGCCUAAAUGCAUGCUCAUCAGACACUACAAAGGGUGUUGGUUCAUUUAGACAGCAGGACG
RNAcentral lists this ribosomal RNA (1204 nucleotides) under Pseudokeronopsis erythrina. RNAcentral's name for it is "partial large subunit ribosomal RNA". It matches the Rfam family "Eukaryotic large subunit ribosomal RNA", at positions 49 to 1247 of the family's 3401-position model. Lineage: Eukaryota; Ciliophora; Spirotrichea; Urostylida; Pseudokeronopsidae. The record is from RNAcentral.